Molecule: long non-coding RNA, 4966 nt
Filed under: Sus scrofa (pig)
Lineage: Eukaryota; Metazoa; Chordata; Mammalia; Artiodactyla; Suidae
Description: lncRNA (ENSSSCG00050051582.1)
Source: RNAcentral
UUUUUGCCUUUUCUAGGGCUGCUCCCACGGCAUAUGGAGGUUCCCAGGCCAGGGGUCUAAUCGGAGCUGUAGCCCCCGGCCUAGGCCAGAGCCACAGCAACGUGGGAUCCGAGCCAUGUCUGCAACCUACACCACAGCUCACGGCAACGCUGGAUCCUUAACCUACUGAGCAAGGCCAGGGAUCGAACCUGCAACCUCAUGGUUCCUAGUUGGAUUUGUUAACCACUGAACCACGAUGGGAACUCCUGAGCAGAUCUUUAGAGACUGGAUGGGAGCUACCAAAAGUAGAAGGGUAAGAGGCAUUCAGGUUAGUGGGGACCAUAUGAGCUUGGCAGUCAGGGGCAGGAUGCCUUGGGGAUUGUUGAGUGACUGGGAAUUUUUAUUGCUUCAAGAUUUCUAGUGCACAAGGAGCAUGAAUAACUUGAUAUUCAGUUGAGAAGAAACUUGAGUGCCAUGGUAGGGAGUUGGGUAUUUAUUAGGCAUUUAACAUGUACCACUGUGUUUAUUCUCUAAUUGUUGAGUAUGUACAAAGCUUGUCCUCCUUGGUGUUUGUGAUGUGGAAUUGUACGGCUGGAAGGCAACUCAGGUUAUUUACCCCUGAACCGCUAAUUUUAUACAUGAAGAAACAGAAGUAUAAGUCAUUUGGUUGAAAGGGUCUUUUCCUAGGGAUUGGAGAGAAUUCAGCCCAUUUGCAUAUAGAUAGAAAGCAAUCUUCCCGCUGCUGUUGUAUAGACUGGCACUUAGUCAAAAAGAAAAACAGCUCCCUGUUUAUUUAAAUUGAGCAGGAAGGAAGUACAGGAGCAGGUGGGUGGACCCGAUAAUCUCACUAUUCAGGACACGGGAAUGUAGUGUAAAGGUAGCUUUGAUCUGGACACCUUCCAAGGAAACUGAGCUGCAGAAGUACCAGGAGGACUUAGUAAUGAGGCAGUUUUAUGCCAAAAGUAAUCACAGGCUAGAGCCUCUGGACUCCACCAAGGCAUCUUUUAAUUCAGUCACACACUGCACACAUGGAAGGUCUUCUCCUUCUCUGGGAUUUCAAAGAAAAUUCUCCCUAGUUAGUGAGUAAGAAUUCCUCUGUUGGUAACAAGAAAUUCUGGGGUAGAUGCCAACCCUUGAAUAUGCUGAGUCUGAGAGGAUCACCCUUCUUCGAGGGGUCUUUCUUCAAUCUCCACUGGGAUGUAAAUCAUAGGAUAAUGUGACUCCGGAAGAGACUGUGAGAAGUCACUGCCUGGAGGAAUUUGAGAAACUUCUCUCAUUUGACUCUUUCAUUAAAAGAGGCUAGUUCCCAAUUUCCAUUACGCUCUGUGUUGUAGGGCCCCAUCUUGGCCUCAGCCAUAUUCAUCCUAGUGAUGGGAGAAGGCCUGGGUGUCUUUGCUCAAGCAGUCAAGAAGCCUGAUGAGAAAGAUCUCAUUCUCAAGGACAGAGUCAAAGUAAUAAACUCAAUACAAGGAAAAAACUUCACUUUCAAGGGACGGACCAAGUCAUUUAAAUCUGGUUCAGCCCCAGGCCACUUGUACAAGGAAGGUGGACCCCAAAUCACAUCAAUAUAGAAGCACAGUUGCACCUACUCUCUGGGAGACUUAAGCCACAGGACUGUGUGUUAUGCGACUGUGCCCUGCCCAAUGGGCCCAGCAGCAGUGUCCCUGUGCCCAGGAAGGCAGGGUGCCCUCUUAGCCUCCUCUAACAAGAAAUGGGUUCCUACAGCUUCAAGAAUGAAGACAAAUGUUAGGGAUUUUGCAAAGGAAAAAGUAAUUCAAAGUUGAACAAGUAGCUAUGGAAAUCCAGACGUCCCCAUAGGCAGCACAGACCCCAUAAUCAUUUGCUUUUCACACGAUAUGGCAGCCUUUGUCUCCAUUUGACAAAAUUAUAAUUGGAGAACAAGAAUAGGACAAAAGGUAAUUGGUUUGCAACUAACCCAUGGAGAGGCACUGCUUCAUCUAGAAAUCAGGAGGUCGCCCUUGCCGCGGAGGGACCACACAGAUUCAUGCUGCAGUUUUCUCUCAAGUAAUUUUACCAUAAAACAUGAAGUGACAGAUUCUGUCCUAGACCACAAGCAGGUAGAGUUAAUUUUUUCCCUCAUUUCAUGACAUGACAGCUGAGGCAAAAAUGUAAUGGGUUUUCUGUAAAUACAUAGAAAAAGCUUAUCACGCAGAGAAUUCGAAUGCUCAUUCACUUUUGGGGAAGGAUGCUUCUUAGAAGAAAAAAAGAUUCUAGCUACUUGAAAAGUCUUACUGCUUAUUCCCAAUAAAAUAUAAAAACACUGUCUUCAAUCUAUAUUACACCUGAUUUUAUCACAUGGCACUCAGCCAAUUAUGUCUCCAGAGGCUGCUGGCAAAGAAUGCUUCCCAUCCCACAGGUGGGCUCUUGCUCCAAGUCAGGGCACUCCAGAUUCUCGCCUUUGCAGCUGGAUUUCUGACUCAAUUUUCAGAGAAUGGAUGUUUGCCAAGCUAACUCGGGAAUGACAAAUAAUUCCCUUUCUUAGGGUUCUGAACCAUUCCUUCAUCUCUGAUACGCCUUCAACACUGGAGACAAAGUUGUGGAAGGUGCGUUCUCAUUUUUCUGCUCAUAUCUGUUAAAACUGCCAGAACACUUACCAUCACAAUCAGGAACAGCCAUAUAUAUUUAAGACACUCAUAUAUAAAGAAAAAUGGUUCCUUCCAGUAUUCUGAUAGUGUGUCUGUGCCCUCAAGUCGGUCAAGAGGAUAUUUAUAAAGCACUUGAUGCUCAAAGGCUUUGCGGAAGGUCUGAAGCUCAGAGACCAUCAGCCUCCUACCACUCUUCCUGGGCCGUCCAGACCCUGAAGUGUAACCACGUCUGAAUUUCACCUCCCGAAUAAACUGCUCAUGGGGAAAUCAAAGGAUUACAGAUGGAAAGAAGCCUUUCAAAAGCAUCAGAUUCAACAUUUUCCAUUUAGAGUUGAGAAAAUGCAGAGAUGAACUGACUUGUUUCUAAAAGCCUUCCGGCUACUAAGUGGUGUUUGGGGAGCAAGUCUCACAUCCUGACUCCUGGCUCACGCUCUUUCCUUGUAGCGAGACUGCUUUUACCUACCUCCCUGGGUGACGGGGGAAUUUUCUGCCCCUUAGUCAACAGAUACUAAAUGUACGAAACUGGGACUGAGAGAACAUCAUAAGAAAAUACAUUAGUUUUAGGGUGAGGAGAGGCUACUGAGUGGUCCUGCAGAGCUCACGUGCUGGUGGGGAGGACAUCCAUCCCCCGUCAUCCACAUGAGUCACCAUAGAUGGCCUCAUUUUCCUGUAAGCAACUCUCAUCCGAGCAUGUUCCACUGACAUAUUUCAUUUCUGAAUCUUGAGGACAUCACUGCUUUAAAUUAAGCAUGUUUUCAACUAUACUUUAAUAAAAGAAUUAAAAAAAAAUUUAAGCACAUUUUGACUGAGGGUGAAGGGUAAAGAAUAUAUUUUCCAGAACUUUACAGACCUUAUCUUUUAAACAAACUUAAGAAGUAGAUAUUUUAACGUUUAUUUGACAGAUGCAGGACUAGAAACUCAGAAAGAAUCGCCCCCAAUACACGGAGCCAAUAAAUACAUGGGAUGGGCUUAACUGAGUUCUUUCUGAUUUAAUAAUUCAUGGUUUUCAAAAGGCAUAUUUCACGGUCUGUAUUAAAUCAUAGUUCUCAGUUAUCAUGCUACCACCAAAAAGAAUUAUUUGAAAAGGACACAGAAAUUUUAAAUAUUAGGCGUUUUUCAAAUUCUUUCAAAGUAGAGGUGGGCACAGUAGCUGAGUGGGGAGCAGGAGUUUGUUCAUGUAUCAGGCAACGCCCAAGUGCCCAACAGGCAUUAAUGCACUUGAUCCACACAGCAAGAGAGGGAAGUGCUGUUGUUAUCUCCUUUUUAGAGAGGAGAACACUGAACAUAGAGAUUGAAUAAUUUGUUCAAGAUCUCACACCCAGUGGCGGGGCUGGGUUUGAAAUCCAGGUGGUCAGGCUCCAGAGACCCUGCUCUCACCAGGCUCUUGGCUGCCUUUCCCAGCCCUCUCCAACCUGCAUGCAGACAAUGCCGAUCAGAGAGUCAGGCUGGUACAGGAGGAAACACCAAAGCCUGAUAUACUCACACUGAUCAGAAAAUAAAUGCAUUUUAAAUAUGGAAAGUAAAACACUGUAUUAGAUAGCAGGUGUUUUAGAACCCCAGGGUUGGUGGAAUAACUCUUGACCUCAAUGGAAACGGAGCUAAUCAGAUUUAAAAGUUCUAAAUUUCCUGGAAGGAAGGAAAGAAAGAAGGAAGGAAGGAAGAGGAGAGAAAGAAAGAAAGAAAUAAGGAAGAAGGAAGAAAGAAAGAAAAAAUUAAAGCAGGCCUUUGAGCAAGCUGCUGCCAUAGCUUCUGGCAGAAGAGUCACACAGACUCUUAUUUAGAGGCAGCAGUUUUUCUCACCUGACGAUUGAAGAAACUGAGGCUCAGAGAAGCCAAGAUUCCCACUGCUGGAUUAGAUUUAGGAUGGCUAGUUGUACACGUGUCUACAGUUAAACAAUCCAAUUCCUGCGCAAAUUCAUUUCUUUCACAAAAGGAUGGACAUGAAUUCAAAUCAAACCAAACCAGACAACAAUAAAAAUAAAAGCAAGCUGACAUAAAGGACAUUCCGAGAAGGCAAAUUUCUUCAUACCUGCUGUGGCAAAUCCCACUUAGCUGGAAUCCACACCAUCAUCUACUGCCUUUAGCACAUGCAGCCCAUCAGCAGGUCCCUGUGGCUCUACUUCAAAUAUGUCCUGAAUCCUAGUCUAGGCUGUGAUCAUUUCACAGCUCUCCUGAGUUGUCUGCUUCUUCCAUCUUGGGCCUCCUACUGUCCAUUAUACUGACAGGGCCAGGGUGGGGGAGCACUUGUAAAAGAGAAAUCAUCUCACUGCUCAAUGUAAUAUCCCUCCAAUCUCUUCCCAUGACUUAAGUAGAGCCAAAUCCAAUCCAUAUUAUAGCUCCCAGUUACCUUCCUGAAUUUCCCUCACACCAUCCCUCCCCCU